Molecule: non-coding RNA, 2151 nt
Organism: Cyanistes caeruleus (blue tit)
Lineage: Eukaryota; Metazoa; Chordata; Aves; Passeriformes; Paridae
Source: RefSeq, a predicted model, not a curated record
GCAGCAGCACAACCAGGGCGCACCUGCGCUCCCCACCGGGACCUUCCUGCAGGCACCCGGCUCUGAAAUACUUGCACAGGUAUCUGAACACCGGCUCUGCAACAUCUGUCCAGCUGUGCUCACAGCCACCUGUGGCCCCACCAAGUGCUGAAUGCAGCGCUGCUCUUUUGGGAGCUGCACUUUGAACAGCAAGAAUGCAGACAAACUAUUUCUAGGAAUGGUGCAGUGCGGACCUUUGUGUUUUGAGUUGUCACUCCCUGCUGUUUUCCAGUUGCGAGGGAGGAUCUGAGGGGAAGGAAUGACAGGUUUCUUUCUCAGGAAUGUUUUGAAUUUUUUCUUUUUGUCUGGAAAAUUAAGUUUAAUCCAGCAUCCCCCUUGCUCCCCAGCCUCUUUGGGGGAUGACUCCUGCUGAGCAGUAGUGAGUUUACAAAGAAGCAAAUGCAUCCAACCAUUUUUGGACAGGGCUUCAGAACGUGCAGCAGGACUGUUGCUGGUCUACGACAGGGAGGGCAGGAAGAGUGCUGUGAACUCGAGCCCAGGAUCACAUUAGCAGCAUUUCUGCUAAUCCCGAAGGGAAAAGUGAUUACAGCAGAGCAAAAGCUUCCCAUACAGGCACACUGGUGUUUUGAUGCAGGCAAUGCCGGUCUCCUGAGGGUCACUGGGUGUAGGGUCCCAGCUGCAGCAUCCCCGCCGGGCAGGGUUAACACCAGCACACCGUGACCAGGCAGGCAGGAGCAGACAGCCACCCGUGGGGACAGGGGGAGACAGGCUCCAGCCCUGAGCUCCUUGCAGGAGAUGAUGUCACUGAGAUCUGCCUGUUUCCAAUCUCCAGCUGCUGGUAGGAGGCCCCAUUACCAACUGUCUGAGCAUUUCAGGCUGUUGGAAAAUGUACAAAGAGGGCUGUGAAUUUGGGCAGAUCAGCAUGAGAGCAGUCUUUUAAAAUAAUAGACUGAAAGCCCGAUGAUUGCUAAAAUACCUGUGUUAAACUCAUCAAUUAAGAGUCUGUCAAGGCAGCCAAAGGAUCAUGAAGGAUCCAAAGAGAGGAGGAGGCGGGGAUGAAGAAAAGCAUUUGAAACUUCACUUCUAUGAAAUGCUCUGCUGAGAACUGUUCUGUGUAUGACAGAGAACCACCAGUUUUGAAGAAUUGUGGGACAGCAUCAAUCUGUGCUACAGCUCUACGGUAUUUUAAACUUUGCUGGAAUAAUUCCAGUGGCAAAUGGAAAACCUGUAUGACACCUAGCAGGAUGUUCAUGUGAGAAACGGCUACGAACUCAUCAAUGACAUAGAAGGCAACAUCUGCAAAACUCACUGCAGGGGGUUUGGACUGGAUUUAUUCCACACAACAGAUAAAGAUAGUAAAUAAUGAAGAUGCAAUUUAAGGGAGGAAAAUCUCAUUCUUGUGGCAUCCAUUUAAACAGGAGAUAUAGAACACAUCUGUACUAUGUUAGAACAGUGUAAUGAGAUUGCUCUCAAUACAAAAAGUAAAUGAAGACAAAAAUGAAAAAAAAAUUGGAAAUAGUUUAUUUGCUGCAUGAAGAAACCUUGUAAAUUACAUAUAAAGGAACUUGUUAUGCUGUAGUAUAUAAUUUCCAAUAUUCCACAAAGAUAAUUGUAAUAAAUAUACAAACCAAACCAAAGUAGAAGACUAAAUCCAUCAGGCAACCUACAAAAUGGUUCAUCAAGUUUUAUACUUGCAGCAUUAGCAUGCUUAAAAUUUUGUUCUUUUUGAAGUGAUGCAGCAAAAUUUUUUUUCACAUUUCUUUGGAGCAUUUUCAAAGCUGUCUAACUAUAAAAUACUGUUCAAAAUUAGACAUUAGUUAAACCACUCAAGAAAAGUAACACCAAGGUCUAACUGAUGCAAAGGUGGUGUUUUUCUUUUUGCUUUUAAAAUCCAUUUAGCAUUGCCAGAAUUAGGAAUUAUCUGAUAUAAGUGCACUAUGAGUCCAGUCAGCCUGAGGCACUGCUGACUCCUGUCAUAUUAUGACUCUAUAUAAACUUCAUAGGUUAUAUAGCUCUUAAAGAUUUCUCUAUUAAUAGAGACAUAUCCCCAUAGAAUUAAAAAAAAACACAAUACCAUAUUGAAGCCGCAAGCUUGUUAAAAUGGUUGUACCCUCAAGUGCAGUGUGUGCUUAAAACAUUUUCCCAUAGUUU